UACGGGGGGGGCAAGCGUUGCUCGGAAUUACUGGGCGUAAAGGGCGCGUAGGCGGACAGUUUAGUCAGAGGUGAAAGCCCAGGGCUCAACCUUGGAAUUGCCUUUGAUACUGGCUGUCUUGAGUUCGGGAGAGGUGAGUGGAAUGCCGAGUGAAGAGGUGAAAUUCGUAGAUAUUCGGCGGAACACCAGUGGCGAAGGCGACUCACUGGCCCGAUACUGACGCUGAGGCGCGAAAGCGUGGGGAGCAAACAGG
This 253-nucleotide ribosomal RNA is filed under the name uncultured bacterium. RNAcentral describes it as "partial 16S ribosomal RNA". It matches the Rfam family "Bacterial small subunit ribosomal RNA", at positions 524 to 776 of the family's 1533-position model. The record is from RNAcentral.